CGAAGAUAGCAGAGCACCGCACAGAUGAUCCUUCUGAAUAAUAUCUCGCCUCUGGCAUAACUUCAGCAUCUGUUGCUGAGCUACGUUUUUGCUCUUGCUGCUGAAGAGGCUGGAGGGAAAGAAAGGAACUAACAAAAGUUUCCUGCCACUAUUGCAUGUGUUCCUUCCUUUGGAAAUAUGGUAUUAAUGGAGACGGAUGCUUGAUUUCUUGUUUCUAACACUUCAUCAGCCUCAGGAGUUUUCUCUCCCCAGCAGCAAAAUAGUUACAUUUCUGUGACAUGAAGCUCCCCCUCAUUUUUCUGUACUCCAGAUGCCUAGCUCUCAAGCCGCAUGACAGAUCCAGCAUGCUUCCAGUCUAGAAGAUUAAAAGAAGAAGUGUAUUUUUUUUUUCUGUUCCACCUGAUCUUUGAGCAUGACCUCGAGGACGGCGUGUGUGACUCUAAGUGCAUCCUCAUCCACACUUGUCUGGACCUCCUGGCACCCGACCAUCCCUACACCUGGCAUCCCUACAUAGGAUGGCAAAUGUCUGGGCUCAGGAGGGCUUUGGAGUGAGGUGCAGGCACAGUACUCACUACUGUUCCCCAAACUCAUGCUCAGAAAAGUGUAGUCUGAGAGAUGCCUUCAUAGCAGGUCCUUCAUUAUUAAAGCUCCAGGACUGAUCCUUUGGAAAACCUAG
Molecule: long non-coding RNA, 676 nt
Organism: Gallus gallus (chicken)
Lineage: Eukaryota; Metazoa; Chordata; Aves; Galliformes; Phasianidae
Source: Ensembl